UUAAGCAUAUUAAUUAGGGGAGGAAAAGAAACUAACAAGGAUUUUCUUAGUAGCGGCGAGCGAAAAGAAAUCAGUUCAGCACUAAGUCACUUUGUCUAUAUGGCAAAUGUGAGAUGCAGUGUACGGAACAUCAACAUUCUAGUAUGAGAAGUUAACGAUUUAAGUCCUUCUUAAAUGAGGCCAUUUAUCCAUAGAGGGUGCCAGGCCCGUAUAACGUUAAUGAUUACUAGAUGGUUUUCAAAGAGUCGUGUUGCUUGAUAGUGCAGCACUAAGUGGGUGGUAAACUCCAUCUAAAACUAAAUAUAACCAUGAGACCGAUAGUAAACAAGUACCGUGAGGGAAAGUUGAAAAGAACUCUGAAUAGAGAGUUAAAUAGUACGUGAAACUGCUUAGAGGUUAAGCCCGAUGAACCUGAAUAUCCGGUAUGGAAAAUUCAUCAUAAGAAUUGUAAUAUUUUAAACAAUAUUAUAAUAAUAGUGUGCAUUUUUUCCAUAUAAGGACAUUGUAAUCUAUUAGCAUAAAUAUUUAUCAUAAAAUUAUGUCUGAUUGCUUAUUUGAAUUAUAUGCUUGGCAUUUUAACAUAAAAUAAAAGAUAUAAAUUUGAUAAAGUGCUGAUAGAUUUAUAUGAUUACAGUGCGUUAAUUUUUCGGAAUUAUAUAAUGGCAUAAUUAUCAUUGAUACUUGUGUUUAUUAUAUGCAUUUGUAUGAUUAACAAUGCGAAAGAUUCAGGUUACCUUCGGGACCCGUCUUGAAACAUGGACCAAGGAGUCUAACAUAUGUGCAAGUUAUUGGGAUAUAACUAAUAGCGUAAUUAACUUGACUAUUAAUGGGAUUAGUUUUUUAACUAUUUAUAGUUCAUUAACGCAAUCCCGGGGCGCUCUUUAUAGUUAUGUAUAAUAAUAUUUAUAUUAUUUAUGCCUCUAACUGGAACGUACCUUGAGCAUAUAUGCUGUGACCCGAAAGAUGGUGAACUAUACUUGAUCAGGUUGAAGUCAGGGGAAACCCUGAUGGAAGACCGAAACAGUUCUGACGUGCCAAAUCGAUUGUCAGAAUUGAGUAUAGGGGCGAAAGACCAACCAAACCAUCUAGUAGCUGGUUCCUUCCAAAGUUUCCCUCAGGAUAGCUGGUGCAUUUAACUGUUGUAUAAAAUAAUCUUAUCUGGUAAAGCGAAUGAUUAGAGGCCUUAGGGUCGAAACGAUCUUAACCUAUUCUCAAACUUUAAUGGGUAAGAACCUUAACUUUCUUGAUAUGAAGUUUAAGGUUAUGAUAUAAUGUGCCCAGUGGGCCACUUUUGGUAAGCAGAACUGGCGCUGUGGGAUGAACCAAACGUAAUGUUACGGUGCCCAAAUUAACAACUCAUACAGAAACCAUGAAAGGCGUUGGUUGCUUAAAACAGCAGGACGGUGAUCAUGGAAGUCGAAACCGCUAAGGAGUGUGUAACAACUCACCUGCCGAAGCAACUAGCCCUUAAAAUGGAUGGCGCUUAAGUUGUAUACCUAUACAUUACCGCUAAAGUAGAUGGUUUAUAUUACUUGUAAUAUAAAUUUUGAAACUUUAGUGAGUAGGAAGGUACAAUGGUGUGCAUAGAAGUGUUUGGCGUAAGCCUGCAUGGAGCCGCUAUUGGUACAGAUCUUGGUGGUAGUAGCAAAUAAUCGAAUGAGACCUUGGAGGACUGAAGUGGAGAAGGGUUUCGUGUGAACAGUGGUUGAUCACGAGUCAGUCGGUCCUAAGUUCAAGGCGAAAGCCGAAAAUUUUCAAGUGAAGAAAAAUCUAAAUAUAUUUGUCAUCUAACCGAUUUUUAUAUACUUGAAUAAUUUUGAACGAAAGGGAAUACGGUUCCAAUUCCGUAACCUGUUGAGUAUCCGUUUGUUAUUAAAUAUGGGCCUCGUGCUCAUCCUGGCAACAGGAACGACCAUAAAGAAGCCGUCGAGAGGUAUCGGAAGAGUUUUCUUUCUGUUUUAUAGCCGUACUACCAUGGAAGUCUUUCGCAGAGAGAUAUGGUAGAUGUGCUAGAAGAGCAUGACAUAUACUGUUGUGUCGAUAUUUUCUCCUCGGACCUUGAAAAUUUAUGGUGGGGACACGCAAACUUCUCAACAGGCCGUACCAAUAUCCGCAGCUGGUCUCCAAGGUGAAAGGUCUCUAGUCGAUAGAAUAAUGUAGGUG
This 2163-nucleotide ribosomal RNA is filed under the name Drosophila virilis. RNAcentral describes it as "eukaryotic LSU rRNA". It matches the Rfam family "Eukaryotic large subunit ribosomal RNA", at positions 34 to 1906 of the family's 3401-position model. Lineage: Eukaryota; Metazoa; Arthropoda; Insecta; Diptera; Drosophilidae. The record is from RNAcentral.